CCUACGGGUGGCAGCAGUCGAGAAUUUUUCUCAAUGGGGGAAACCCUGAAGGAGCGACGCCGCGUGGAGGAUGAAGGCUUUCGGGUUGUAAACUCCUGUCAUUUGGGAACUAGUACCAGAAGAGGAAGGGACGGCUAACUCUGUGCCAGCAGCCGCGGUAAUACAGAGGUCCCAAGCGUUGUUCGGAUUCAUUGGGCGUAAAGGGUGCGUAGGUGGCGCCGUAAGUCGGGUGUGAAAUUUCGGAGCUUAACUCCGAAACUGCAUUCGAUACUGCGGUGCUUGAGGACUGGAGAGGAGACUGGAAUUCAUGGUGUAGCAGUGAAAUGCGUAGAGAUCAUGAGGAAGACCAGUGGCGAAGGCGGGUCUCUGGACAGUCCUGACACUGAGGCACGAAGGCCAGGGGAGCAAACGGGAUUAGAUACCCUUGUAGUC
RNAcentral lists this ribosomal RNA (432 nucleotides) under uncultured bacterium. RNAcentral's name for it is "partial 16S ribosomal RNA". It matches the Rfam family "Bacterial small subunit ribosomal RNA", at positions 338 to 795 of the family's 1533-position model. The record is from RNAcentral.